GUACGGGAGGCAGCAGUGGGGAAUUUUGCGCAAUGGGCGAAAGCCUGACGCAGCGACGCCGCGUGGAGGAUGAAGGCCUUCGGGUCGUAAACUCCUGUCUUGAGGAAAGAACAGCUUUGAUGCCAAUACCAUCAAGGCCUGACGGUACCUCAGGAGGAAGCACCGGCUAACUCCGUGCCAGCAGCCGCGGUAAUACGGAGGGUGCAAGCGUUGCUCGGAAUCACUGGGUGUAAAGCGCGUGUAGGCGGUUCAUUAAGUCCGAUGUGAAAGCCCUUGGCUUAACCAAGGAAGUGCAUCGGAAACUGGUGAGCUUGAGUGUGGAAGAGGGAAGCGGAAUUCCGGGUGUAGCGGUGAAAUGCGUAGAUAUCCGGAGGAACACCAGUGGCGAAGGCGGCUUCCUGGUCCACAACUGACGCUGAGACGCGAAAGCGUGGGGAGCAAACAGGAUUAGAUACCCUAGUAC
This 463-nucleotide ribosomal RNA is filed under the name uncultured bacterium. Its description in RNAcentral is "bacterial SSU rRNA". It matches the Rfam family "Bacterial small subunit ribosomal RNA", at positions 339 to 793 of the family's 1533-position model. The record is from RNAcentral.